Molecule: long non-coding RNA, 1648 nt
Filed under: Homo sapiens (human)
Lineage: Eukaryota; Metazoa; Chordata; Mammalia; Primates; Hominidae
Description: HSALNT0058628
Source: RNAcentral
GAGGGGGCUGCCCUUCCGUUGCCCAUGCUAAAGGUUCCUGUGUAGGAAGCUGGACGCAGCCUGCUGGACUAGUAAUCUUCCUCCUCGCUGGGGCGCGGGGCACUGAAGGGAGGGAGAGACUUUCUCCUCCUUCCUGUUCCCCGGGACAGCUGUGCUCUCCGAAUCCUUCCCUUCUUCCCAGCCCACUUAUUCCCCGCUCGCCAAGGCACGUUUGCACAGGCAUUUUUCCUGCUCUUUUUUCUGGGAGGGCAGCUUGGUAGAAUGGUCGGCGGAGCUGGGCGAGGAGAGGGGUCUUCAGAAGGUUUGCUUUCUUGCUCUUGCUUCUCACUGGCCGCUGGGCUGUCCACUUUCCGCGCCGGGCGACUGGCAACAGGAGGCCAUGGAUUUCCCCCAACGACAUCUUCAACUAAAGAUGUCAAAGCACAAGCUCACUUCCCACGGAAGGUAGCAAUUACUAUUAUCUACUUGACAGCUACAAGAACCUAGGCACAGAGGUUAAGUGCUCUGCAAAUACUACCAGCCAGUGGUGGUUUUCCUGCCAGAACCAAGUUCUUGCCUUCCAGUGGACACCAUUGAUCUCUCAAGAUGAUUCUUUAAGUUAAAAAGCACGAAUCACAAAGGGCCUCAAAACCACAUUAAAAUUUAAGAUUGAUCUGCUCUUCUGCUUCUGAAUGUGAGAGCCUAUACUGGAUCUCUGAAGAAAAUAAAGAUGAGAUGAGGUUCUGAUCCCUUGGACUUCAUGAAGUUACGUGACAGAAAGUAUGAUUGUCUAGCCGAUACUUGACUGUGUGAAACCUUCAUCUACUCCGGAAUCCUGAGGCACAGACUCAGAGGCCCUCUGACUCACGAUUAGGGUUGUCAGGGUGAUGCAACAGCAAGACCAUAGCCUUUGGUGUCGGAAUACCAAGUUUUGAAGCUCAGUUUCCCCACUCACUAAUUUUCAGUGAGCACAUACAUAAUUUGAAAUCUGAAAAUGGACAAUAAUGCCUACCUACUUCAAAAUUUGGUUUGAGAAUCAAGUGAAAUAUUAAUAUAUAUGUAAGCAUUUUAUGAACAAGGAAGCAAGUUAUAAAUGCAUUAUCUUGUUAAUUUAGUCAUUUCACUAGGGGUGGGUCCAAUGUGGGCCUCCUUUGAGGUAGACUGUAUUUCAUGAAUUUAUAAUAAAAUUCUAAAGUUUAACAAAGACAGUACCUGGAAAAAUUACUUUUUCAUGUUUUUAUGUUUUGUGUCCACUCUGUUGCAGUAACAACACAGAUAUAAAAGGAUUUGAGUCUGUUUAUAGUAUUAAUCAGAUUCCCACUCUCAUUCAUAGUGAGAUUUUAAAACCUUUUCUUACACAUCUAAAGGAAAGUGUAUCUGACCCAGUGGUUUUUUCUUUACCCUGUCACUUUAUUUAGUAUGCCUCAUUAACAUCAAAUAAUAAGGUAUUUUAUUUGGGGUCUUCUCUCAUAGUACUAGAAAAUGCAAUUUUGCUAGAUGAAAUUGGUUUCAAUCCUAAAAAACUUAAUAUUUCUUUUCUUACAAAUAAAUGUUUAUACUUUUUUAUAACAUUCAUUUUCCAGAUAAUGUAGACUUGCUCAGAGAUAAUAUUGUAUCAGAAGAUUUAGAAGAGUAAUUUGUUGAGAAUAUAUAGAAUCAUCCUCAAAUA